AAAAAAAUUGAUGGCAUUUUCGUUAAUUAUAUGAACUUGUGGGGUGAAUAGGGCAUAACUAAUUUAAAAAAAAAGGUGGUUAGUUUUGUGUUUGACUUUGAGUUGUAGGUGAAUUUUGCAAAAAACCCAUUCAUUAAAAUAUAAGGAUAUAGUUAUAUGUAAAUUACAUGAUAGAAUUGAUAAUAUAUAUAUACGAAGUUUAUUUUAUUGAUAUGAUCUUGAUAUUUUAGACAUUAAUUAUAUUAAUUUGUCAUUUUAAAUAAAGACUUUCAUUGACAUAUAUUUGUGCUAAACUUAAUUUAUUUAAUAAUAUUAUGAUAUUUUUAAUCUUUUCAUCUUAUGAAAUUAUAAUAAUUAUAAUUUAUUUAAUAGUUAUUUUUAUUAGUUAAAUAAAUUAGAAAGCAUCAUAAUUAAAAAUUAGAGUAUUGUUUAAUAAAUUCAAAUUUUAAUCACACAAAAAUAAAGUAAAUUUUUUUUAUAAAAGAUAAAUAUAGUUGAAGUUGUUGGUAUAAAAUCGAAUAAAUAAAAAACCGACAAUAUAUAACCCGAACCAAACAUAGUAGAUAUGGUUUUAUCAUGGUAUAUUAUUUUUUUUAAUUAACCACCAUGUCCGACGACCGAGGUAAGCCAAAUAUUAUGUGGGUCCCAGAAGUGUAAUAUUAAAUUAUCUAGUGGCCAACGGAGAUCAAACUGUAGGUUUCUCGUAUUGGAGUUAUCCCUCAAGUGCCACUAGCCCAAGAUCCGUUGAUUGGUAUCUAAUUUUUAGAUAUCCAAAUACCAAAAAAAAAACUGAAAAAACCAAAAUCCGUAUUAAGCAGCCAUACUUUGGAUAUAUAGUUUUUACACCCAUCUCAACUUAGAUCAUUUUUAUUAGUAGAUUUAGAAUAUCAACCCAUAUCUAAUAGUCAAGAUAACGAUAUACAUCAAUAUCUUAGAAUAUGAAACUUAUCAUUAUCUUAUGUUUUUUUGUAACAGAAACUUAUCAUUAUCUAUAUGUAAUAUUUUGUAUUUCAUAACUAAUAUAGAAUAUUACAUUAUAGAUAAUGAUGAGUUUCAUUUCUAAGAUAUUGAUAUAUAUCCUUAAACUUGACUAUUAGAUAUGAGUUGAUCUUCUUGAUCUCCCAAUAGUUUUCAUCUUUGGCCAAGAAAAUAUUUUUUCUUUAACAUAUGAUUGUGUAUUCUACGUAUAAGAAUCAUAUUACGUAUGGAAAACUAAAAAAUAAUUCCAUAAAAGAUUCAGAAAUUUCCAUAAUUGGCAAUGGAGAUAAAGGGAAAUGAAAUCAUUUAUCUUUAUAAAAGUAGAAAGGAAAGACUAUAUUCCUCUUCAUCUUUGACCAUACAAAAUACCUUUCUUUUGCAUAUGUUUGUGUAUUAUAUAUAUAACCAGACCAAAGAAAGAAAAACUCAUAACAUUUCGUAAGAGAAUACAUUAUACAAUAUAUCCUAAGUGACUAUUACUAUGAGAACUUUAAUUGCAUUUGUUUUUACUGUCCUUUUUAUCAUAUCUGAUGCUCAUCGUUAUAUUCCACCUGUUCAUGCUCCGGGUAUUGGAAUAAAGCAGACGGACAUAGUAUGCUUUCCCCCAGAUCCGUGCAGACACAAUUGGAACGUAGGUUGCACUAGCCAUUGUCAUGACUGGGGUUAUUUUAUAGGUGUAUGUACUAACAACGAAUGUUGUUGUGAAAGAUAAUAUGCAUCGAAGAUGAAAUAAUCUAGUCAAAUGCACUUGUAUCUCUUUUCAAAACAUAAUAUUAAAUACUUUUUCAUGUGUUUUUUAUA
Molecule: long non-coding RNA, 1779 nt
Organism: Brassica napus (rape)
Lineage: Eukaryota; Viridiplantae; Streptophyta; Magnoliopsida; Brassicales; Brassicaceae
Exons: 2
Source: RefSeq, a predicted model, not a curated record